This 269-nucleotide unclassified non-coding RNA is filed under the name uncultured fungus. RNAcentral describes it as "partial contains 5.8S ribosomal RNA, internal transcribed spacer 2, and large subunit ribosomal RNA". The record is from RNAcentral. Lineage: Eukaryota; Fungi.
AACGCACAUUGCGCCCCCUGGAAUUCCGGGGGGCAUGCCUGUCCGAGCGUCAUUUCUGCCCUCCAGCGCGGCUGGGUGUUGGGUGUUGUCCCCCCGGGGACAUGCCCCAAAGGCAGUGGCGGCGCCGCGUCGGGUCCUCGAGCGUAUGGGGCUCUGUCACUUGCUCGGGACGGACCUGCGGGCGUCGGUCUUCCCCAUGCAGUCUCCCGGAAGGGAGGGUGUCUUCUACGGUUGACCUCGGAUCAGGUAGGGUUACCCGCUGAACUUAA